CGGGGCGUAGCGCAGUCUGGUAGCGCACUCGGCUGGGGGCCGAGCGGUCGCUGGUUCAAAUCCAGUCGCCCCGA
Molecule: transfer RNA, 74 nt
Filed under: Solirubrobacterales bacterium
Lineage: Bacteria; Bacillati; Actinomycetota; Thermoleophilia; Solirubrobacterales
Also listed under: 2 other names
Description: tRNA-Pro
Rfam family: tRNA
About the family: Transfer RNA (tRNA) molecules are approximately 80 nucleotides in length.
Source: RNAcentral